UACGGGGGGGGCAAGCGUUGUUCGGAAUUAUUGGGCGUAAAGAGCUCGUAGGCGGCUUGUCACGUCGGGUGUGAAAGCCCGGGGCUUAACCCCGGGUCUGCAUUCGAUACGGGCAGGCUAGAGUGUGGUAGGGGAGAUCGGAAUUCCUGGUGUAGCGGUGAAAUGCGCAGAUAUCAGGAGGAACACCGGUGGCGAAGGCGGGUCUCUGGGCCGAUACUGACGCUGAGGAGCGAAAGCGUGGGGAGCGAACAGG
RNAcentral lists this ribosomal RNA (253 nucleotides) under uncultured bacterium. Its description in RNAcentral is "partial 16S ribosomal RNA". It matches the Rfam family "Bacterial small subunit ribosomal RNA", at positions 524 to 776 of the family's 1533-position model. The record is from RNAcentral.